This 509-nucleotide ribosomal RNA is filed under the name uncultured bacterium. RNAcentral's name for it is "bacterial SSU rRNA". It matches the Rfam family "Bacterial small subunit ribosomal RNA", at positions 19 to 518 of the family's 1533-position model. The record is from RNAcentral.
CUGGCUCAGGAUGAACGCUAGCGAUAGGCUUAACACAUGCAAGUCGAGGGGCAGCACGGUGUAGCAAUACACUGGUGGCGACCGGCGUACGGGUGCGUAACACGUAUGCAACCUACCCGCUAUUGGGGGAUAACCCGGCGAAAGUCGGACUAAUACCCCAUAUUAUUCUUACCGGGCAUCCGGUAGGUCUGAAAGAUUUAUCGAUUGCGGAUGGGCAUGCGGAUGAUUAGCUAGUAGGUGGGGUAACGGCUCACCUAGGCGACGAUCAUUAGGGGUUCUGAGAGGAAGGUCCCCCCACACUGGAACUGAGACACGGUCCAGACUCCUACGGGAGGCAGCAGUGAGGAAUAUUGGUCAAUGGGCGCUAGCCUGAACCAGCCAAGUCGCGUGAAGGAUGAACCAGAUCUAUGGUUUGUAAACUUCUUUUGCAGGGGAGUAAAGUGCGACACGUGUGUUGUAUUGCAAGUACCCUGCGAAUAAGCAUCGGCUAACUCCGUGCCAGCCGCGGC